UACGUAGGGGGCAAGCGUUGUCCGGAAUCAUUGGGCGUAAAGAGCGUGUAGGUGGCUCGGUAAGUCCGCUGUGAAAGUCCAGGGCUCAACCCUGGAAAGCCGGUGGAAACUGUCGAGCUCGAGUCCGGAAGAGGCGAGUGGAAUUCCUGGUGUAGCGGUGAAAUGCGCAGAUAUCAGGAGGAACACCAAUGGUGAAGGCAGCUCGCUGGGACGGUACUGACACUGAGACGCGAAAGCGUGGGGAGCAAACAGG
Molecule: ribosomal RNA, 253 nt
Filed under: uncultured bacterium
Lineage: Bacteria
Description: partial 16S ribosomal RNA
Rfam family: Bacterial small subunit ribosomal RNA
Source: RNAcentral